RNAcentral lists this signal recognition particle RNA (300 nucleotides) under Microcebus murinus (gray mouse lemur). RNAcentral's name for it is "Metazoan signal recognition particle RNA (ENSMICG00000042935.1)". It matches the Rfam family "Metazoan signal recognition particle RNA". Rfam says of the family: The signal recognition particle (SRP) is a universally conserved ribonucleoprotein. The record is from Rfam by way of RNAcentral. Lineage: Eukaryota; Metazoa; Chordata; Mammalia; Primates; Cheirogaleidae.
GCCAGACGCGGUGGCGCACGCCUGUAGUCCCAGCUACUCGGGAGGCUGAGAUGGGAGGAUCGCUUGAGCCCAGGAGUUCUGGGCUGUAGUGCGCUAUGCCGAUCGGGUGUCCGCACUAAGUUCGGCAUCAAUAUGGUGACCUCCCGGGAGCGGGGGACCACCAGGUUGCCUAAGGAGGGGUGAACCGGCCCAGGUCAGAAACGGAGCAGGUCAAAACUCCCGUGCUGAUCAGUAGUGGGAUCACGCCUGUGAAUAGCCACUGCACUCCAGCCUGGGCAACAUAGCAAGACCCCGUCUCUU